CCCAUUUGUCUUAAAAAGAAAAAAAAAAAAAAAGAAGAAGAAAAAAAAAAAGCCACAGCGAAACGACUGCUGGGGAAUGCUGCACAGCACAAAGGCUGAGCCAAUCCUUCGCUUAGUGCUACCAGGCCUAACAGAUGUGUUGAGUGCACAGAUCUGGGUUGCAGCAAGCAUUAAUUUGUCCUACUGACUUCCUGUGAGGGUUCGGUGUCUGCAGCGGGGCGUGAUGCUGCACCACGCGUACAGAAGCAGAAAGCUACACCAGAGCUACAACUUGGCUCUUCUGGCAAUGCAUAGCCAGACCUCUUCAGGAUCAGAGCUGGACAAGGAAGCGAUCAAAAGCAGCAAACAAACCUAAAUUAAAAUUGGAAUGAUGAAGCCUAUAAGACUUUGCGUUAAUCCUGCAUGUUGUGCCUCCAGACAUCUGUCAGCCCCCAUAUACAGCCAAUUCUCAGGGCUAGCUGUGGAUAGAGGAAGAAAUGUGCCACUUUACAAAUACUGCCAGCAAGAGCCUUGGAAUUAUCUUCUACAAGGACAAAAACAUGAGAGGUGCUGCUUCCUGCCUUUCAGAGGCAAGCCAAACUACUUCACAAACUGGGGGCUUAAACAGGAAAGGAGAUGAUACUGCCUCAAACCCCGCUUCCCGCAGUACCUCAAUACUUCCGUCCACAAAAUCAUCAGGUGCAAGCACACCAAAAGCCACAAGUCAUCCUGCUUGAUCCUCAGUUACCAGCAGCAUUCAAACAUCAAAAUCAGAGCCUCAUCCACCAAGCUGCAAAACUUCUGUAGGACCAUAGUCAAAGAGCUGCACUUAGGCUGAGAUGAAAACUGUUUCAGUAGCUGAGCUGAAGAAAUGACGCUCACUUUCACCUUUGCCGCAUCACUGCACUGUUCACUACCGGGAAAUGGAGGUGGCAUUCAGACCAGCCGCUCUGCUGGAAGAUGUUGCUGUGGGGUCAUUACUGGCAGUGAGUUGGCACUUAGUGAUGGUGAACUCUGUACUAACUUCUGCCACAGAGAAUCAGAGACAUUUGGCAGAAUCACCAAGGUUGGAAAAGACCUCCAAGAUCCUCUAGUCCAACUAUCCACCUACAACUGCUGGCACUCUCUCAUCAGGCUCAUAAUGACUUUGGGUGAAAUCCCAGCCGAGCUCAAGGCAACAUGUCUGGAUGCAGAGGGCUAAUCCUCUGCCGACACGAACUGACAAGAUGCCAUUGAGGCUGAUGAAGCACUAUCAAUUUACAACAGCCGAAGAUGUGUCACAUAAGGUAAUCAGACUCUAAAAGAAAUAUGAUGGCAAGAGUCCUAAACAUUUCCAAAACACUGUGCUGUCAGAAUAGAUCUUAGAGUACAAAGCCCUACUUUGAGAAGUUGUCAGAGACCCAGAUGGGUUGCUGAUUUUAUCCUGCCUGGAACAUUGUGCAUCCACCUUUCACCCCUUUCCUGUUAUUACUAAUUUUUUAUUUUAUUUAUUUAUUUUAUUUUGGCACCUUAAGACCCUGAGAGAAGUCUCUGAUAUUAUGCCAGCCCCAUAGCUUGGCAUAGAACAGGACAAAUACUUUGCUGAGCUUUUUCCUCUCUAACUCCUUGUUGCUAGAAAUCUCGCUUGAAACAUUGCUUUAUCAUUAUGUCUGUAAAGUGUGGAGUUUCAAAAGAGAAAAACAACCUAUAA
This 1669-nucleotide long non-coding RNA is filed under the name Gallus gallus (chicken). RNAcentral describes it as "lncRNA (ENSGALG00010013962.1)". Lineage: Eukaryota; Metazoa; Chordata; Aves; Galliformes; Phasianidae. The record is from RNAcentral.